This 1574-nucleotide long non-coding RNA is filed under the name Rosa chinensis. RNAcentral describes it as "sRNA RchiOBHm_Chr7g0234481". The record is from RNAcentral. Lineage: Eukaryota; Viridiplantae; Streptophyta; Magnoliopsida; Rosales; Rosaceae.
UUAGCUUUGUUGUCAAGCCAACCACUACAACAAAUUUGGGUUUAUACAACGAAUUGAUAUGCAAGGAUUGAUAAAUUCUUUGCAAUAGGUUGUAUUAUACAAAGAAUACCAUAGUUCCUUGCAUUUAGUUUGCAUAACAUGUAAGGAAAACAUGAAUUCCUUGCAUUUGGUCUACCAAAUUGAAAAACAUGUAAAACUCCUUGUAUAUACUUUUCAUUUCCUUGCAUACGAUUGAGCAGGGUCUUUGCCGCUCCAUUCAUUUAAUCUAUUUCUCUCUCCAUCUUUUAUUCACUUACUCUCUCUCUCUCUCUCUCUCUCUCUCUCUCUCUCUCUCUCAAGCGCAGAUCCAAUAACACACCACACACCCAAAUCUGAAUCUCGCCUCUUCCAUCCGUUUUCGUCAUCUCCUUCUCCUUUACAGGCUCAAAUCCCGCUCCAUUGCCUCUUAAUCCCAAGCCCAGAACAGAUGCUUCUCUCCUAUAUCUUGAAUCGGUUUCUUUUCUUCGAUUUGGAUUUGGGUUUUGUUGGGUUCUUUGAUUUCGGUCUAUGAUAACACCCACCUCCUUUUUCUCUCCGGGUUUCUGUUUUGAUGUGGGUAUUGUUAAUUUGUUCAAUUUUUCCUGUAAUAGCAGGCCUUGCUUCCUAAUCUGGGUCUUUACUAUCCUCUACUCACUCUUGGUAUGACAUCUCUCUUUCAGCAUUUUUGGGUUUUCUUCUGUAAUCUUUUUCUUUAUCAUGUUAAUUUGUGAUUUAGGUCAUUAUCGAUAAUUUCCUCCCUUAUAAUCUCACUCAAUUUUUUUCUUUCCCAUUAGCAAAACAAUACAUGGUCUUGCUGGAUGUUCAAGCAGGUUAGUAGAAAGACUUGGCCCCCUUUAUUUUCUUUUUGAUUUGUAUUGCAGAUAAGGCUAGUAGAAAGACUUGCUUUAACAACCCGAUGUGGCCUGUCUUUAAGCUUGCUUUUGCUAUGCUUGACGUAUUACUCAAACUUGUGGAAUCAUCAUAAGUUCAGCUAGAGUUGAGAUAAACUUUGAACUGUUAGUUUUUUUGAUUGGAGCACAUGUUAUUAAUUUAGCUAUUAUUCAAUGUUUAUUAGAGAAGUGAUGGAUUUUGUUAUUCCCAAUAGGUCUUGCAAAGCUUUUCUGGACUUGCUGGAGACACAAUUGUUAGAGUGACUACUGUGACUUAAUUCGAUUAAGUAUUUUCCUCAAUUGUCAUUGUGGGCGGAGCUGUAUAAUAGAGAUGAUCCUAACACUCCUCCAAACUCUUUUCCCGUGUGACCUUCAUUGUCGUCUUCACGUUCUCCUCUCCAGUCAACAAUGGCAGACGACGAUGUCAACGACAUUGAUAUGGGGUUGUCUCUGAGUGCCUCAUAGUUAUCAAUACUUCAUAAAAUUGUGAUGAGGCGGAAGGCCAGUUAUUGAGGUCAUUAUAUUCAGCACUGCCCUACAAAUGGUGAUCCAAAUUAUGACAUCAAAAGAGUGAAACCACCCACUGGCAUUCCCAAGUCCAUGGUGAUAGCAACCCCAGAUGGCUCAUAUGCACUGCCGAGUGGUGCAGUAGCUGUAUUGAGGCCG